GCUAGGUUGGCAGAAGCUGGGACAAGUAACAGGAACUCACUCAGUUACGCAGUGCUAGGGAUUUGAACUGCCAAACUGCUGACCUUUCUGAUCGACAAGCACAGUGUCUUAGCCACUCAGCCUCUGGGUUGAUACCAUUGCA
This is a non-coding RNA of Pseudonaja textilis, 142 nucleotides long. The record is from RefSeq and is a predicted model, not a curated record. Lineage: Eukaryota; Metazoa; Chordata; Lepidosauria; Squamata; Elapidae.